GACUGCUAUCGGAUUGAGAUUAAGCCAUGCGAGUCAACCCGAAAGGGUGGCAGACGGCUCAGUAACACGUAGUCAACCUGCCCUAAGGACGUGAAUAACCACGGGAAACUGUGGAUAAACCGCGAUAGGCCAUUGUUGCUGGAAUGGGCAAUGGCUUAAAUCUAUAUGGCCUUAGGAUGGGACUGCGGCCGAUCAGGUUGUUGGUGGGGUAAUGGCCUACCAAGCCUAACCGGUACGGGCUCUGAGAGGAGGAGCCCGGAGAUGGGCACUGAGACAAGGGCCCAGGUCCUAUGGGACGCAGCAGGCGCGAAACCUUCGCAAUAGGCGAAAGCCUGACGAGGUUAAUCCGAGUGUUUCCUGCUAAAGGAAACUUUUACCAGCUGUAAAUAGGUUGGUGAAUAAGGGGUGGGCAAGCCUGGUGUCAGCCGCCGCGGUAAUACCAGCACCCCGAGUGGUCGGGACGAUUAUUUGGCCUAAAGCAUCCGUAGCCGGUCUUCUAAGUCUUCCGUUAAAUCCACCUGCUCAACAGAUGGGCUGCGGGAGAUACUGCAAGACUAGGAGGCGGGAGAGGCGAGGGGUAUUCCUUGGGUAGGGGUAAAAUCCUUGAUCCCAAGGGGGACCACCAGUGGCGAAGGCGUCUCGCCAGAACGCGCUCGACGGUGAGGGAUGAAAGCUGGGGGAGCAAACCGGAUUAGAUACCCGGGUAGUCCCAGCUGUAAACGAUGCAGGCUCGGUGAUGGACUGGCUUCGAGCCAGUCCAGU
This 762-nucleotide ribosomal RNA is filed under the name uncultured archaeon. Its description in RNAcentral is "bacterial SSU rRNA". It matches the Rfam family "Archaeal small subunit ribosomal RNA", at positions 25 to 799 of the family's 1478-position model. The record is from RNAcentral.